UAAUGCUUUUAGUAAUGUAAUCCUUUCCUUAUCCUCUCCUUGUUGAAAGAUGGGCCAGGUUUUGGCAGAUGAUGGCACAGAGAAGCAUUACAAGUGUCAGGGACAAUGUGAGAAAAGGCAGAAGAAGGAAGACUCAAAUCUGAGAAUGUCCCAUGAUCCUGCACCCACCUGCCUCAACUACCGCAUGUUCACGCAAAUAAAAAUAUGUUACUGAGUAAAUGAACUGUAUCUGGGCGAAUAAAUGAACUGUAUCUGGGCAAAUAAAUGAAUUAAAUACUUAUAAA
This 284-nucleotide long non-coding RNA is filed under the name Homo sapiens (human). Its description in RNAcentral is "HSALNT0150809". The record is from RNAcentral. Lineage: Eukaryota; Metazoa; Chordata; Mammalia; Primates; Hominidae.